Molecule: ribosomal RNA, 497 nt
Filed under: uncultured bacterium
Lineage: Bacteria
Description: partial 16S ribosomal RNA
Rfam family: Bacterial small subunit ribosomal RNA
Source: RNAcentral
GAUGAACGCUGGCGGCGUGCCUAAUACAUGCAAGUCGAGCGAACAGACGAGGAGCUUGCUCCUCUGACGUUAGCGGUGGACGGGUGAGUAACACGUGGAUAACCUACCUAUAAGACUGGGAUAACUUCGGGAAACCGGUGCUCAUACCGGAUAACAUGUUGAACCGCAUGGUUAAACAGUGAAAGACCGUCUUGCUGUCACUUAUAGAUGGAUCCGCGUCGCAUUAGCUAGUUGGUAAGGUAACGGCUUACCAAGGCAACGAUGCGUAGCCGACCUGAGAGGGUGAUCGGCCACACUGGAACUGAGACACGGUCCAGACUCCUACGGGAGGCAGCAGUAGGGAAUCUUCCGCAAUGGGCGAAAGCCUGACGGAGCAACACCGCGUGAGUGAAGAAGGUCUUCGGAUCGUAAAACUCUGUUAUUGGGGAAGAACAAAUGUGUAAGUAACUAUGCACGUCUUGACGGUACCUAAUCAGAAAGCCACGGCUAACUACGUG